ACAAAAGAAGACACAAAA
This 18-nucleotide small RNA is filed under the name Arabidopsis thaliana (thale cress). RNAcentral describes it as "ATSL008670". The record is from RNAcentral. Lineage: Eukaryota; Viridiplantae; Streptophyta; Magnoliopsida; Brassicales; Brassicaceae.